AACGGUAAUGAACUGUACUCAAGCUACAUAAAAAUUGCAAAUUUAAAACGGCUGGGUUUUUUUUGUUCUGGUACAGCUCAUGGCGUUUCAAAUUUAAAAGAGUUUUAAACAUUAAUUUCAAAACGAAAAACAAAAACCUAAUAUCUCUCCUUCUCACCCGCUCCCUCAUUCCCAACCCUCCCUCUCGAUCUCUCUCUCACUCCAUCACUCUCGAUCUCUCUCCCUUUCUCCUACUCGCUCACCCCCAAUUCCCUCCCUCUCGAUCUCUCUCCCUCUCUCUCUCUCUCCCACUCCAUAAACAAAAGGAAACAAAAAGCCUUUUCCUUUUUAACCCUAAAACUCCCAUUCAAAAGCAUCUUCAACGCCGAUUCAUUCUAGGAUCGGAGGAAUUUUUGUUGGAGAAUCUCAACAAGAAGCCGAAAAGCUCGCUGAAAUCUUUAAAAUUCAUUACCAUAAUCAGACUUUUGGGUUUAUUUCGGACCUUUUAAAGACCGGAAUUGUCGAUCCGCGAUCCAACUAUUGAGGAUCUUCUGAAACUCCUUGGAAGGUGCCGAAAUUUACUCUCUCAAACAUAUCUGAAAGAAAAAAGGAAUUCUCAUUUUUAUUUUUUUUGGAUUUUCCAGUAUUUAUGUUGGAUAUCUACUCGAUUUUUUCCCUGACAAUCACUGAAAAUGUUGACAAUUUGGCCAUUUUAUCGAAAAAUCGAAAAAAAAAAUCAGCAAAAUCUUGCCAGUAUCCAGUAGAGAUUCGAAAAUUUGGGGGUUUUUGGUUUCACUGAGCCAACGAUAGUGAUAUUACUGGAGAUCUACCUUACAGACUGAUGGUGCUCAUGCCAAAUGAAUUCAAUGCCAGAAUGCAGGAAAAUGGCAGAGAGGAUUGGCAUAAGAUUCAACAUAUACCCUCAAUCGAAAUAAAACAGUGAGCUAUCAAAGGCUUGUGAAUUUGGUUGCUUGUUUCUUCCACCAACGGAAACGCAUGGAAGGGCAAAUUCAGCAUCUCUACAAAAGCGGUUUACACUACAACAAAUAUGGGAAUGGGCGCAUAGACGAUAUUUGUGGAAAUGACAGUGAGGCAAUUGGCAUCCCUAAAGCAUCACCUCCAGUAGGAUCAAGGGACAUUUUGGUCUUUUUAAAUAUAUUUGGAAUAGAUAGGGUUAAAAACAUGGAUGGUUAUAUAUAUAUAUAUAUAUAUAUAUAUAUAUAUGCUUUUCUUGCUUUGAGAAUAGUAUACAAACAAUUUAAAGAUUCAUGUCAUAUGUGAGCUUCCCUUUGUUACAUGUGCUGCCUAGAAUAGAAGAGUGGAGGAAUGUUAUGAUUGUUGGUAUAACAGAUUGCAGGCUGUUGGAUUUUAAUGGAUGUCAAUGCACUAUCCUUCAUAUUUACUUCUUUUGCAUCCGUGAAGGAAUUUUAUCGCUUGGACUUCAAGGAACUAAAGGUGGAUGGGUACAUAUGAUGUAGACCAAGUGGAACUCACUUAUUUGAAGGCCAAGUGGAUACUAAGUUUUGUCAUGUUAUGGAGAAAAGAAGUUCUAAGCCGAUUAAACUGUGAGUUUCUUCUAAGAUUGAUAUGUACAGUCACUUGCAAAAAUUACCUCAUUGUACCUUGAAACAGGCUUGCUCUUCUUUUUUCCUCUUCUUCUAUAUUUACAAAUUGCAGCUGGAAGAUCCAAAGGAUCAGAGCCUUCCAAGCAAAUUCCCGCUUCAAUAUCUUGAAAAUACACUUGAUGGAUAGACCAUUUUAUGCCGGAUCGCUGUUGCCGGAGUAGAGGUAAUCUUGUAUGUGAACUUUCACUGUGAAAAUAUGUUGAUGCAUUUGUGGAGCAGGCAUGGAUAUGACUACAUUGAAUUCUUAUACAAGGGUGUAAAAGGGUUUGAAGACAAGAAAAUGGUAAAUGGGUUCAAUUUGACGAUGACCAUCCAAUUCCAUAGAUGGAGGAAGACAUCACAAAGCUCUCGGGUGGAGGUGAUUGGCACAUGGCAUACAUUUGCAUGUAUAAAGCUCAAGGAGUUUAUAUUUAAAUUUAAUGGUAAGCCUAAGCUAAAGUACUUUUACACAGUCGAUCAAUGACUUACAUUUUGUGUAGAUGAGAAAGGAAAAGUAUGUGUUGUUGAGGCACUUGGUUUAUAA
This is an RNA transcript of Magnolia sinica, 2127 nucleotides long. RefSeq lists it as uncharacterized. The record is from RefSeq and is a predicted model, not a curated record. The transcript is spliced from 7 exons. NCBI's taxonomy places the organism in Eukaryota, Viridiplantae, Streptophyta, Magnoliopsida, Magnoliales, Magnoliaceae.